CGCAGCCCUGUCAAAUUCGGUCCCCGGCCUCUCGGUGGCGGGGACCGGCCAGCCGGCUGCCACAGCGACUUCCGUAGUCCAUGGGCCCCGCGUCCCUUCCCCGUGGGACGCCGGGGAUAAAAUCGUGCCACGGACACGU
This 139-nucleotide small nucleolar RNA is filed under the name Anser brachyrhynchus (Pink-footed goose). RNAcentral's name for it is "Small nucleolar RNA SNORA5 (ENSABRG00000001325.1)". It matches the Rfam family "Small nucleolar RNA SNORA5". Rfam says of the family: ACA5 is a member of the H/ACA class of snoRNA that guide the sites of modification of uridines to pseudouridines. Lineage: Eukaryota; Metazoa; Chordata; Aves; Anseriformes; Anatidae. The record is from Rfam by way of RNAcentral.